CGCCUUCCGACUGUCCUUGCGAGUACCACGGCAUGUUUUAUCCUUCUGGACAGACGCUGCAGGAGGAGUGCAACAACUGCACAUGCGUUGGUGGAGUGUGGAACUGCACCGACUACAGCUGCCCAGGCGAAUGCUCGGUGACUGGCGAUAUGU
Molecule: long non-coding RNA, 153 nt
Organism: Notothenia coriiceps (black rockcod)
Lineage: Eukaryota; Metazoa; Chordata; Actinopteri; Perciformes; Nototheniidae
Exons: 3
Source: RefSeq, a predicted model, not a curated record